Molecule: ribosomal RNA, 119 nt
Filed under: Triticum aestivum (bread wheat)
Lineage: Eukaryota; Viridiplantae; Streptophyta; Magnoliopsida; Poales; Poaceae
Also listed under: 2 other names
Source: RNAcentral
GGAUGCGAUCAUACCAGCACUAAAGCACCGGAUCCCAUCAGAACUCCGAAGUUAUGCGUGCUUGGGCGAGAGUAGUACUAGGAUGGGUGACCUCCUGGGAAGUCCUCGUGUUGCAUUCC